UCUAUUCUACCGCUGUCUGUCUAAUGAGUAUGAUAUCUUUUAUAUUAUGUUAAAGUUUUGCUAAGUUGAAUGCCUUGCAUGUCUAUAGAGAGGAUACUUUGUAGGUAUGUGAUGGCUGCUCACAUCCCCAAAAAUUUAUUUUAAUUUAUAGUCUGAGUUAGGGGGGUGACAGUUAAAGUGGUAUCAGAGCAUAUAUUUAGUUUAUAUAAUGUAUUGAAAUUAAGGCACGCUGAGAGUAAGUGGGAUAGUUAUUAGAUAAUAAGAUAUAAAAACUUGCCUUUGUUAUUCUAGAUAUAGUCACGGAUCUUAUAUUCCGAUCUAUUUGAAAUCUUGAAAUAAGUUCCUAAUGAUGUGUUAGCAAUAAACUGAAAAUAAUAUUAGCUGUGUUAUUUAUGUUGAUAAUAAUAUUAAUGAAUUAUAGUAUUGGAAAGUUCCUUAUAAUCAGAGUUUAUCAUCAUAUCGAAGGUGAUCUAUUAGUUACCAUUUAAGUAAUUUUCAUGAUUAUAAAUUAUUGGUAUUUUGCUUAUAAAGUCGGGAGUGUACAUUUAUGUUUCUGAUAAUUCUUUUGAUAGAUGAAAUAUAUGAUUAGUGUUAUUCCCUGUUGCAUAGGAUGUUAAUUGCAGAUCAUGGAAGUAAUCGAUAUAUCUCCAAAGGUUAUCCUAGUCGAGAUCACAAAAAAGUUGGGACUCUCAGAUCCAGUUUAUGGAGUUGAGAUAAAUGAAGGACAGUAUGUUAGAUCUUAUGUGAAGGUGACUAUCAAUAGAGGAGAGCAACCAUUUGAAACUGUUAGAUCAAUGGGUCUUUUUAGAGUAGAACAAUUGAAGUCGGAAGAAUAGGCAGCAAUUUAUGCACUUAAUAAUGAGGCACCAUUUCCAUUUUGAAGUGUAGGAUGUCAAUUUUGAUGACAAGAAAGAUUAUAAGCAUUCCUUCCGAAGAGUAGGGGCUAAAUAUAAUGCUGCAAGUGUGGAACUUCAACAGUGACAGAUUAAGGGAUAUAAAUCAAAGACAUAUCGAGAAAUAUUCUAGCUUGUAGCGUCAAGUAACGAGAUUGAGGCAAGGAUUCCCUUCGGAUAUCGAGUCUUCAUCUAGAGAAAAUUGAUGUGAAAGGAAGAGGAUGAAGUAAAUAAAAGGUAUGAUCUAUUAUUGCAUAGGAUAAAUUUAUACUAUAUUUAAUAUCUGAAUAACUAAUCUGAGUUUACUUUAAUUUUAUCUUGUUGGAGGAUCCAGUGGUAAUCAAUUUUGAAUGGUAUUAGUGAAAUUUUGCAUAACUAGUUGAGAAUUUUGGUAUGUUUUGAAAUAAAAAAAAGAAAAGAAAAAGAAGAGAGAUUCAAGAUGGUAGUCAUAUAUUGGUAGUUAAUCAAAUAUCUUGAGUAG
This 1374-nucleotide long non-coding RNA is filed under the name Elaeis guineensis (African oil palm). Its description in RNAcentral is "long non-coding RNA (EGUI_LNC030276)". The record is from RNAcentral. Lineage: Eukaryota; Viridiplantae; Streptophyta; Magnoliopsida; Arecales; Arecaceae.